Molecule: non-coding RNA, 1029 nt
Organism: Benincasa hispida (wax gourd)
Lineage: Eukaryota; Viridiplantae; Streptophyta; Magnoliopsida; Cucurbitales; Cucurbitaceae
Source: RefSeq, a predicted model, not a curated record
UUUGAGUUGUACAAUCUCCCCGCCGUUGUCCUCCUUCUCUUUGGCCGCACCGUAACUUCUUCUCUCAAUGUAACCGUCGAUUCGGUUGGUUGGUCGGAAUUCCCCCGGCCGACGCUGGAAUUUAUUCGUUCUCUGAUUUCACCCUCGGUAAUAAUAAUGGCUUUGAAACACAAUUUUAUGCCCUUCGAGUUUCAUCUCGUCGUCUCAACAAAAUCCCUAGGAAGUUGCCACCGUCCUUCUUUUCCGGUUUCUCUUCCGUCGCUCCCCCGCCAUUCGCCGGUUGAAGAAGUCGCCUGCGUCCUCCGUUAUCGGGAAGAACAUCAUGAAGACCCCAUGUGCAGAUGAGGUUGUGAAUGAGGAUGAAAAUGUAGAUGUAUCUCCAUCAAAUUAUACUACAAAAGAUCAAAACAGUAGGAAGAGAAAAGGUAACGACGACGAUCCUUAUGUCAAGUGUAUAUACUCUGGUGCGUCAUAUACUAGUCCUUCAAAGGGGAAUGGAAUGGAAAAUGUGGAAGCACAUGCCGAGAACUAUCGCGACAAGUAUCCUUUUCAUAGCACUUGUUCUAAUAAUUCAUAUGAAGAAGGAAGGGAAGAUGAUGAGGAGGAAGAGGUAGGAGAGGAUUCAAAAAGUUAGGCUCUUCACUCAUUAGAGGAGUUUUUUUUGCAAAAGUUGCAAGAAUACUAAUUGCAAAAAUGAUCAUAAUUGAUAAAUUGCCCCUCAAGUAUGUGGAGGAGGACGGGUUUAGAAGGUUUAUGGAGCAGACUGUGUGUGAAUAUGCUCCAAGGUGGGACUCUACCUACAUGAUGCUGUAGGAGGCAAAAAAGUUUGAAAAGGCGUUGGAGAAACCAGAGAUCCAUGGCAUGACCUAUUUGAAGGGGGACCUUCCCUCUAGUAGAGAUUGGGAGGUAAGAUCACUUGUUCAUUGUUUAUCGGUAUUUCAUAAAACGAGUCUAAAACUUUCCGGUUCGCUUCAUGUCCCUUCAAGUAGGAUCUUUCAUGAGAUUAGCACCUACAAAAUUUCAUCAAAA